AAGAGUUGCAAAACUCCCACUAAACCAUUCGCGAACCGUACCACACAUAAGUUGCUUCGGCGCGCGCGCUGCCCGAGGUCCCUCACGGGGCGCGCCGAGAGCCCGCCGUACUACAAACUCUUAUUAUAACCAGCUACAUCUGAGUACUAUACUUAAUAAGUCA
Molecule: unclassified non-coding RNA, 163 nt
Filed under: soil metagenome
Description: partial internal transcribed spacer 1
Source: RNAcentral